Long non-coding RNA from Camelus dromedarius (Arabian camel), 1062 nucleotides. RefSeq lists it as uncharacterized. The record is from RefSeq and is a predicted model, not a curated record. Lineage: Eukaryota; Metazoa; Chordata; Mammalia; Artiodactyla; Camelidae. The transcript has 3 exons.
UCGCACUGGGAGAGCGCUCCUGUCGCAGACCUAGACAGCAACAGAACUUGGACCAUCAGGGAGCUCCAGGCCCAGCAGUAACAAGAGCCAGGGCACAAGACCUCAGUCCGCACCAGUACCAGGCAGAAGAAGCAUCACUUGGGGAAAUGGAGAAACUGAGGCUCAGAGAGGAUCAGGGGCCUGCCCCAUCACCAGUGACAUAGCAAACCUGCAAAGGCCCCUGCCCGUGGACCCUUCCCCAUUGCCCAGCUGUGUGCGCAUCAGAAGCUGAGAAGGAAGUGGCACCAUCAAGGCAAGAACUCCCAAGGUCAAGUCUAGACACCAUUCCUGGGCCCUUGGAGACAGGCCAGCAUGUAGGGGCUCUAGUCUGACCUCCUCCAGGACGCCUUCCCCGAGUGACCUCUGAUCUUCCUCUUCUGAAUUGCUAGGGCUCCCUGAGUGAGUCAUUGCCAUUUAGGACUCACUGCCUUGGGACUCUUGACUCUGUUAGUGGGAAAGCCUCUUCCUUCUUCCUCCCCACAGUCUCUUAAAACUGAAAGAAGCAUUUUCCAGGCAGAUUUGAGGCACCCUAAAUCAACCUCCUGAUUCCUGUGUCACCCCACAUCCUAGCACCUGUAGUCACCCAUCACAUAUCUUCCCGGAGCUGAGAGCAGGGCAGGGCCUAGAGCCCAUAAGGUACAGGCCAGUUACCCAGAUAGGCAAACAGAACACAAAUUUGGAGAGGCUGGGGGACCCUCACUCCAUCACUGGGGUCCCAGCAACAGUUCUGCUGAGGGACGGGAAAGCAGAGAAGUUCAUCUGGAGCUGAGGGUCCCUGCUGGGAGGGUUCCUGAAGCCCCCCUGUAGGAACAGGUAUCAAGGUAGGCCCUGCAACCAGGAGGGGAGGGCAGGACAGGAUCCAGACUACACAUCUGUCAUGGGGAGAAGUAUGCAGACCUGUCCUGGGAAGCCCCGGAAGGUGCUCUGGGUACCAACCAUGAGGGUGGAAGUAGCUGCAGGAAGAAGAUUUCCCCCCUGACCCUGACACCCAGGGACUCUAAUCAUCCCCAAAGCCCAGCAGCC